CCCGCUGAACUUAAGCAUAUCAAUAAGCGGAGGAAAAGAAACUAACAAGGAUUCCCCUAGUAACUGCGAGUGAAGCGGGAAAAGCUCAAAUUUAAAAUCUGGUGGUCUUUGGCCAUCCGAGUUGUAAUUUAGAGAAGCGUCUUCCGCGCUGGACCGUGCACAAGUCUCCUGGAACGGAGCGUCGUAGAGGGUGAGAAUCCCGUCUUUGGCAUGGACACACCAGGGCUUUUGCGAUGCGCUCUCGAAGAGUCGAGUUGUUUGGGAAUGCAGCUCAAAAUGGGUGGUGAACUCCAUCUAAAGCUAAAUAUUGGCGAGAGACCGAUAGCGAACAAGUACCGUGAGGGAAAGAUGAAAAGCACUUUGGAAAGAGAGUGAAACAGUACGUGAAAUUGUUGAAAGGGAAACGCUUGAAGUCAGUCGCGUUGUCCAGAAAUCAACCUUGCUUCUGCCUGGUGUACUUUUUGGUCAACGGGUCAGCAUCAAUUUUGACCGGUGGAUAAAGGUCAGGGGAAUGUGGCAUUUUUAUUGAAUGUGUUAUAGCCCUUGGUUGCAUACAUCGGUUGGGAUUGAGGAACUCAGCAUGCCGCAAGGCCGGGUCUUUUGAUCACGUACAUGCUUAGGAUGCUGGCAUAAUGGCUUUAAUCGACCCGUCUUGAAACACGG
This 663-nucleotide ribosomal RNA is filed under the name uncultured fungus. RNAcentral's name for it is "eukaryotic LSU rRNA". It matches the Rfam family "Eukaryotic large subunit ribosomal RNA", at positions 24 to 664 of the family's 3401-position model. Lineage: Eukaryota; Fungi. The record is from RNAcentral.